AACGAACGCUGGCGGCAGGCCUAACACAUGCAAGUCGAGCGAACCCUUCGGGGUUAGCGGCGGACGGGUUAGUAACGCGUGGGAAUAUACCCUUUGGUACGGAAUAGCCUCGGGAAACUGAGAGUAAUACCGUAUGUGCCCUUCGGGGGAAAGAUUAUCGCCAAAGGAUUAGCCCGCGUUGGAUUAGAUAGUUGGUGGGGUAAUGGCCUACCAAGUCUACGAUCCAUAGCUGGUUUGAGAGGAUGAUCAGCAACACUGGGACUGAGACACGGCCCAGACUCCUACGGGAGGCAGCAGUGGGGAAUCUUAGACAAUGGGCGCAAGCCUGAUCUAGCCAUGCCGCGUGGACGAUGAAGGCCUUAGGGUUGUAAAGUCCUUUCAGAUGGGAAGAUAAUGACGGUACCAUCAGAAGAAGCCCCGGCUAACUCCGUGCCA
This 435-nucleotide ribosomal RNA is filed under the name uncultured bacterium. Its description in RNAcentral is "bacterial SSU rRNA". It matches the Rfam family "Bacterial small subunit ribosomal RNA", at positions 29 to 510 of the family's 1533-position model. The record is from RNAcentral.